Molecule: ribosomal RNA, 253 nt
Filed under: uncultured bacterium
Lineage: Bacteria
Description: partial 16S ribosomal RNA
Rfam family: Bacterial small subunit ribosomal RNA
Source: RNAcentral
UACGGAGGGGGCUAGCGUUGUUCGGAAUUACUGGGCGUAAGGCGCACGUAGGCGGACUCUUAAGUCGGUGGUGAAAUCCUGGAGCUCAACUCCAGAACUGCCUUCGAUACUGAGAGUCUCGAGUCCGGGAGAGGUGAGUGGAACUGCGAGUGUAGAGGUGAAAUUCGUAGAUAUUCGCAAGAACACCAGUGGCGAAGGCGGCUCACUGGCCCGGUACUGACGCUGAGGUGCGAAAGCGUGGGGAGCAAACAGG